AGCGAACGCUGGCGGCGUGCCUAACACAUGCAAGUCGAACGUGAAAUGGGGCAACCCAAAGUAAAGUGGCGUACGGGUGAGUAACGCGUAGGUAAUCCACCCCAGAGUCUGGAAUAACCGGCCGAAAGGCUGGCUAAUACUGGAUAGAGCGACGGAAUCCGUAAUUGGGUUUUUCGGGAAAGGGAGGCCGUAAGGUCCCUCGCUUUGGGAUGAGCCUGCGUCUCAUUAGCUAGUUGGUGGGGUAAUGGCCCACCAAGGCAUUGAUGGGUAGCUGGUCUGAGAGGAUGAUCAGCCACACUGGAACUGAAACACGGUCCAGACUCCUACGGGAGGCAGCAGUGGGGAAUCUUGCGCAAUGGACGAAAGUCUGACGCAGCCACGCCGCGUGAGUGAAGAAGGCCC
Molecule: ribosomal RNA, 402 nt
Filed under: uncultured bacterium
Lineage: Bacteria
Description: bacterial SSU rRNA
Rfam family: Bacterial small subunit ribosomal RNA
Source: RNAcentral